GAUGAACGCUGGUGGCGUGCUUAACACAUGCAAGUCGAACGAUGAAGCCCAGCUUGCUGGGUGGAUUAGUGGCGAACGGGUGAGUAACACGUGAGUAACCUGCCCUUAACUCUGGGAUAAGCCUGGGAAACUGGGUCUAAUACCGGAUAGGAGCGUCCACCGCAUGGUGGGUGUUGGAAAGAUUUAUCGGUUUUGGAUGGACUCGCGGCCUAUCAGCUUGUUGGUGAGGUAAUGGCUCACCAAGGCGACGACGGGUAGCCGGCCUGAGAGGGUGACCGGCCACACUGGGACUGAGACACGGCCCAGACUCCUACGGGAGGCAGCAGUGGGGAAUAUUGCACAAUGGGCGAAAGCCUGAUGCAGCGACGCCGCGUGAGGGAUGACGGCCUUCGGGUUGUAAACCUCUUUCAGUAGGGAAGAAGCGAAAGUGACGGUACCUGCAGAAGAAGCACCGGCUAACUACGUG
RNAcentral lists this ribosomal RNA (466 nucleotides) under uncultured bacterium. RNAcentral's name for it is "partial 16S ribosomal RNA". It matches the Rfam family "Bacterial small subunit ribosomal RNA", at positions 28 to 507 of the family's 1533-position model. The record is from RNAcentral.